CUCUGCCGGAGGGAGAGUGGCCUCGGGUGAGGUUCGUGUGUAUUGUAUCGGGGUGUUUCGUGGAAGGCGCGUGCGGGCCGAGUGUGUGAGUGGACGUGUGAAUGUGUGAAUGCGCGCAUGGUGCGUGCAAGGCGAAUGCGUGCGCCACUCCCGCGCCCCUCCCCCGGCCUCACCUUGGUGCGGGCCGAGUGUGUGAGUGGACGUGUGAAUGUGUGAAUGCGCGCAUGGUGCGUGCAAGGCGAAUGCGUGCGCCACUCCCGCGCCCCUCCCCCGGCCUACACCUUGAUCUUAUUUGAUCGGGUCGUGACUCCAGCCCCGCCGGGCCGACCCGAAAUGAAAAGCUCCCCUCCUGCGAAGCCCUUUCCUUGGGGCGCUGUGCAGCGAGGCCCCUUGGGCGGUGGCAACGCCGCGGUCCCCGGUCCAACGGGGCCCGGCGCUCAGAAGUGAUGAAUUGAUCAGAUAGACGAGGCCGGGCUUGUCCCGGGCCACUGAUUAUCGAGGCGAUUCUGAUCUGA
Molecule: small nucleolar RNA, 515 nt
Filed under: Camelus ferus (Wild Bactrian camel)
Lineage: Eukaryota; Metazoa; Chordata; Mammalia; Artiodactyla; Camelidae
Description: Small Cajal body-specific RNA 2
Rfam family: Small Cajal body-specific RNA 2
Source: Rfam by way of RNAcentral